Molecule: long non-coding RNA, 1634 nt
Organism: Hippocampus comes (tiger tail seahorse)
Lineage: Eukaryota; Metazoa; Chordata; Actinopteri; Syngnathiformes; Syngnathidae
Exons: 2
Source: RefSeq, a predicted model, not a curated record
GGACCUUUAUUUUAUUUUAUUUUAUUUCUUAGUUUUGUGGGCAAUUCUUUCUAGAUUUUGCAUUAUUAGUAGCAAUGGAACACUGUCCUCUAAAACAUUGCACAGUCCUAUUGUUGCACGCUCAUCCUCUGCAAACCAUGAAGUAGUCUGAUCCCUAAAAAUACAAACAUAAAUUGAAUUUUUCACUUCUGAUUGAAGAAAGAAAUCACUUUUUGCUAUUUUAAUCUCUAUCGAACCAUUUCCCUACCCCAGAACCCAAAAAUGAUAAGUUCAAGUCUUAUAAAGUCAUGCUUUGUGAACCAGGAAGUAGCAUGCUAGCACAAACAAAGACAAAGACGGACCUCGACAAUCUCUAUUUUUUCUGCUUUUGUUGACUGUUCAAUGUCUUUGUUCUACUCAGCGCUGCUCUCGUUUACAUUUUUUCUUAUUCGUGCUUGCAGUUUGGGACCCGCUACAAAGCUUUUGAAAGUAUUUUAAGCGCCUCUUCUUGCCGUGGUUGUUUUCUCAGUCAGUGCGGGCUGUUUUCCUCUGAGGAACCCAGUCAGCGCUGACUUAUUAAUUUUUAAUGUAAGCGUUUGGGUUAGGGACCCUCACUCCUUGUUUACAUCCUUGUGAUGUUCCCGCCUUUGUGUCAAGACGAUGUCAUGCAUUUAUAGUGUCUGCAUUGUGUGUGUUUGUUUGGUGUCUGUUCCUCUCGCAGGUCACAAGAGGGCUGCAGCCGAUGGGACGCGGCUGGCUAAAGGUUCUCAGGAUACAAAAAUUGAGGAGUGGUGCGGGGUGGGUGCCAGGGCAGUUUGGUUAUUGUUUGCGGGCAUGUUGGGAGGCAGAGCGGGGUGAAUGGGGAGUGUCAAGGGGUUGGGAUAAUUGCUGACUCUAUUUUGAGGACAUAAAAACCUCUGCAGCAGCAUCUCGGGCCCAAAGCCCACCCCACUCCUCCUUGUAAUGAAAAUGAAGUUCUAUGAUCCCUCUAGCUCAUUAACAGCAGGUCUUUUAAUGAGCUUUCAACAAGGUGGGGGCUGGGUAGAUGAUGACAAGUAUGGUUGGAGUGCGGCUGGGUGAGUUAUUGCACCAGAUGUACACACGCCCACUCGUCCCAAUUACCAUUGUGUUAUGGAGAAUAAAGUGGAAAUGAAGACGGAAGCCUCAGACUUCCAUGAGUUACCGGUUGUUAUUCCGUUUUUUUUUUUGUUUUUUUGCUCCACAGAGACAGAAAAAAGGAGGAGGGAAGGAGUGGUGGCUUCCAGGUGACAGGUAACAUCCUCUAUGACUCCCUCUGGUAAACUCUGGCCUCCUUGUCCCCGAGGCGCCGCCAUUUGCCGCAAGUACGGGCGCAAUUGUGUAAGCGCACACCUCUCUGCUGUCGCCGGCCAAUCACGAGGCGAGGACACGUCGAAGGCCAAGUGGAGAGCGAGGCACGCGGCACUUUUCUGACCAGUUGGCCGACCUCAACUCAAGUAAGGUGGACUUUGACUUCUUUCAGCCACACACACACACACACACACACACACACACACACACACACACACACACACACACACCCAUAAACUGCAAAGAUAAAUGUUACAUUCAUGUCAAUGAGGGAGACCUGUAUUCAAGAUCAAAACUUUUUUUUUAACACUGUUUCAUAUUGAGGG